RNAcentral lists this long non-coding RNA (768 nucleotides) under Homo sapiens (human). RNAcentral's name for it is "HSALNT0305270". The record is from RNAcentral. Lineage: Eukaryota; Metazoa; Chordata; Mammalia; Primates; Hominidae.
GCCCCGGCCAGGCCAGGCCCAGGCCCCCAGCGCUCCCCCUUCCGCUCCGAGCGGGAGGGGCUAGCGAGCAUGCGCAAUAAGAUAAGUGCCCUCUGUGUACCAAAAAGGAAUGUACUGUUUAUAGAGACUUCAAAUCAGCAGAAAAUUCAAAUAGUUAUAACUUUUCUUUAUAAUCCAUCAUGAAAAAGAGUAACGACAAGAAGCUGAUUCCUGCCAACUGCAUUUCCUGGGCUCAUUUAACCAUGCCCAGAAGGAAUUAGGACAAUGAAAGAUAAAAAGAUAAAGGAGCCAACAUAUCCUCUCCCCUUUGAUUCAGACGACUUCUCCACCAUCACCUUCUUCACAAUGGCCACUUUUCCUCUGCAGUUGGGGUUCUUCUUCCCCAGCAAUGGCUCCAGGACUCUGUUAACUCAGCUCCUCCCCAGUUCUAGAGGUAGACGGUAGAGGCUUCCUGCUAUUGUUACUCUGGGGUUCCCCUUCUUCUCCAGUUUGGCUUUCCAGCCCUUCCAACUCCUUUGUAACUAGUUCCUGGUAUCAAAUUCACUUAACUGAACUACCUGACUUCGGCCCUGAUGUUUGAGUGGACCCCAUCUCACACACUGAGGUUGACAAUACUUGGCAAGUUGUUAGGCGAAGAGCAAAACAAUAAUCAUAAUCAUAGAAGCAUUCAUGUAGGUAUUGCAAGGCUCACAUCUCCAAAAUGUCCAGUGGAGACAUGAAAUAAUGAAUAUGUUACAUAGUGACAGUCAUUUAAAAUUUUUCAAAAGC